RNAcentral lists this ribosomal RNA (620 nucleotides) under uncultured Tomentella. RNAcentral's name for it is "eukaryotic LSU rRNA". The stretch from base 204 to 358 matches the Rfam family "5.8S ribosomal RNA". The record is from RNAcentral. Lineage: Eukaryota; Fungi; Basidiomycota; Agaricomycetes; Thelephorales; Thelephoraceae.
CAUUACUGAACUGUCGACACGAGUUGUUGCUGGUCCUCGAAAGGGGUCACGUGCACGCUCUGUUUACACAUCCACUCACACCUGUGCACCCUUGUAGUUCUAUGGCCUGGGGACUCUGUCCUCUUGCCGUGGUCCUACGUCUUUACACACACACCGUAACAAAGUAUCAUGGAAUGUACGCCGCGUCUAACGCAAUACAAUACAACUUUCAGCAACGGAUCUCUUGGCUCUCGCAUCGAUGAAGAACGCAGCGAAAUGCGAUAAGUAAUGUGAAUUGCAGAAUUCAGUGAAUCAUCGAAUCUUUGAACGCACCUUGCGCCCUUUGGCUAUUCCGAAGGGCAUGCCUGUUUGAGUAUCAUGAACACCUCAACUCUCAUGGUUCGCCAUGAUGAGCUUGGACUUUGGGGGUCUUGCUGGCGUAACUGCCAGCUCCUCUCAAAUGAAUCAGCUUCCCAGUGUUUGGUGGCGUCACAGGUGUGAUAACUAUCUACGCUUGUGGUCUUCCAUCAGGUUACCUUCAGUAAUGGAGGUUCACUGGAGCUCACAGACGUCUCUCCUCAGGGAGGACAAGCUUCUUAACGUUUGAUCUCAAAUCAGGUAGGACUACCCGCUGAACUUAA